GCACAGCGGAAAAGAGAGUGACAGAGCAUAGUCCACACGGAAGGCAGAAAAUAAAAGGAAAUCAGAAGGCAGCGAGGCUGCCAGAAAGAAAGAAAGAAAAAAAUAUAAAAAAGGAAGGAAGUAGCGGGAGAAGGGAGUAGAGGGGGGAGCUGCCCUUUGGCAGCUCGCAGACGUGGAGAACGGGAAGAGAGAGGACAGCAGUGGGCUGUCUUGGCAGCCCAGAGGGCAGUGAGCCUCGGGGAGAAAACAGAGAAGCAAAGCUGCCUUUGCAGCUGGGUAGAGAGCAAGCACAGAAAAACUGUGCGGAACGUCAGCAAGUCAGAGGAAGAGAGGGAGGUGAGGACAGCCAAGAGAGUUCAGAGGAAAGAACAUAUAAAAAAACUGCUUUGCGCAGCGUGACAGGGGAGGGCAGUGAGCCUCGGGGAGGAAGACAGACAGAAGCAGCAAGCACUCUCCUCUCUCGGUUAAAUCUUUCCCACUUAUAUUUUACUUUUGGUUUAUUUGUGUUUUAAUAAUGUGUAACUAAUUUUAUUUUGGCUAGAGGUUAAUUCAAAGCCAUGAAUAUAUUUGUAAUAUGAAUUGAUUACCUUCGGUUGUGAUUUCAUAAGUUGUGAUUUCAAUUUACUUAUCCGUUCGUAUAAAAACUGAUUUGUGUAUGUUAGUUGAGAGUGCACGCUUAAUUUACAUGCAUGAAUUUGAUGCUAGAAUAUAAGUGAAUUUCACCUAAUCGUUAUGAACUUAUUUUCACAAGUAGUAAAGGUUGCUAGUCACAAUCACGUUAAGUAAAUUCUUG
Molecule: long non-coding RNA, 793 nt
Filed under: Malus domestica (apple)
Lineage: Eukaryota; Viridiplantae; Streptophyta; Magnoliopsida; Rosales; Rosaceae
Description: long non-coding RNA (MDOM_LNC008168)
Source: RNAcentral